Molecule: long non-coding RNA, 1560 nt
Organism: Brassica napus (rape)
Lineage: Eukaryota; Viridiplantae; Streptophyta; Magnoliopsida; Brassicales; Brassicaceae
Exons: 2
Source: RefSeq, a predicted model, not a curated record
ACAUAGCCACGGUUAUAGCCACUAUUGUUUCAGUAGCUAUAUUAUUAGUCACUGUAUAGCUACUUUUUUGUCAUGGCAGUGUACAAACCCUAAUUCAAACCUCCAAUUCUAUACCCUAAACCAUAAAUUUAAACAUACAUAUAAAACUAUAUAUCCAGUUUUUUCAAUCAUAUAAUUUAAAUCACAAACUCUAAUAUAUUUAAGCUACAAAUAAAUUUCAAUGUUAAACUCUAAAUUUUAAUAAUAAACUCUACAACAGCAAAUACAUUAUAUCCAAAUCCUAUAUCAUACAUUAAACCAUUAACCGUUGAAUCUAAACCCAAACUUUAUAUACUAUAAACUCCAAAACAUUUAUACUUUCCAUUAUAUAAAUUUAACAUUGUAAAUUAUAUAUAAUUUUUCAUAGUCCAACUCUUAAAUAUAACCAUAUAUCUUUUAAACUCUAAACCUAAAACCUUAUAUAUUUCAAAUUUCCUAACACAUACAUACUUUCAAUUAUUUAACUUUGACAUUUAUAAAUGUAAUCAUAUUCUUCAAACUCCAAACUUUAAACUUAACCAUAUAUUAAUUAAUUAACUCUAAACUCCAAGUUUUUUCUUUUUGAAACACAAACUCCAAACUUUAUAUUUUCCAAAUUUUAUAAACAAUUUUUUAAAAAAGAUUUAAACCUCAAUUUUUAUUAUAAACUAAAUCACCAACUAUUAAUUAUUAUAUAAUCUUUAACACUUAAAUUUUGUAAUCCUUAAACUUUAAUCUCUAACACUUCAUAACACUCUAUAUAAAACUAAAACAAAUGUAAAUAACAAUCUCCGCCCUAGUUUCUUAUUGGUGAAAAACAAGAGUGUUCGGAUAGCAAAUCUAACCAUUGGUUACAAUUAAUCGGUGGUCUAGAUUGAUUCUUUUUGUGUUUCUUUGUCAUUGGCCAGACAGAUCUAGCACCACACAAUUCAAUCCUCUCUUUCAGGUCUCCUUCCCCUCUUCUUUCACGUUUCUUCCCCUCCUCUUGCACACAAAUUAACUUGCGGUUAAGGGUGAUUAUGAUGAUAAUGAAGGUCGCAGAAGAAGAGAGUCUCCGUGGAGGGUGAUGAUGAUGGUCGCAGAAGAAGUGACUCGAUGUGAAGGGUUACUCGCCGUGAAUGGUGACUCUGGUCUUAAGCUCUUCGUCGUAACCGAUUUCAUCAACAAAUCAACACGAAUGAAGACGACCGCUACGAAUGGAGAAGGGUGAGAAGAUAGAUGGCGAGGAGGACACGAGACGGCGACAGAGUGCGGUGGAGGAGGCAGAAGAUCUCCUGGUGGUUUGGUUGGUGGUGGAGUGGCACGACUAUCACCGGAGACGCGGAUGGGUGGGCUAUCACCGGAGGAAUGGUGCGGUAGUGCGUGCUGUCGUGGUCCGGUGGUGCUGAGCAAGAAGAAGAAGAGAAAGGCGGAGAAGACAAGAAUCCGGAGACACCAUCGGAGGUGGUCAGACGAGGACGUCAGGAUUUGCCGGAUUUAUUGUAUUUUAUAUAUAUUGUUUGUAUUUUAUUAUAUAUUAUUAAAUGUCCAUUUCAUUUUUUA